UACGUAGGGGGCAAGCGUUGUCCGGAAUCAUUGGGCGUAAAGAGCGUGUAGGCGGCUCGGUAAGUCCGCUCUGAAAGCCCGGGGCUCAACCCCGGGAGGCGGGCGGAUACUGUCGGGCUAGAGUCCGGAAGAGGCGAGUGGAAUUCCUGGUGUAGCGGUGAAAUGCGCAGAUAUCAGGAAGAACACCCGUGGCGAAGGCGGCUCUCUGGGACGGUACUGACGCUGAGACGCGAAAGCGUGGGGAGCGAACAGG
RNAcentral lists this ribosomal RNA (253 nucleotides) under uncultured bacterium. RNAcentral describes it as "partial 16S ribosomal RNA". It matches the Rfam family "Bacterial small subunit ribosomal RNA", at positions 524 to 776 of the family's 1533-position model. The record is from RNAcentral.